CGGCGUGCUUAACACAUGCAAGUCGAACGAAAAAGGUUAAAAUGAGAGCUUCGGUAGGAUUUCUUUCCAUCUUAGUGGCGGACGGGUGACUGACGUGUGGACAACCUGCCCUGUACUGGGGAAUAGUCAUUGGAAACGAUGACUAAUACCGCAUGUGGUUCUCGGAAGGCAUCUUCUGAGGAAUAAAGGAUUUAUUCGGUACAGGAUGGGCCCGCAUCUGAUUAUGUAGUUGGUGAGAUAACAGCCCACCAAGGCAACGAUCAGUAGCCGACCUGAUAGGGUGAUCGGCCACAUUGGGACUGAUACACGGCCCAAACUCCUACGGGAGGCAGCAGUGGGGAAUAUUGCACAAUGGGCGAAAGCCUGAUGCAGAAACGCCGCGUGAAGGAUGAAGGGUUUCGGCUCGUAAACUUCUAUCAAUAGGGAAGAAACAAAUGACGGUACCUACAUAAUAAGCCCCGGCUAACUACAUGCCAGCAGCCGCGGUAAUACGUAAGGGGCAGGCGUUAUCCGGAAUUACUGGGUGUAAAGGGAGCGUAAGCGGCAUGAUAAGCCACAUGUGAAAGCCUUGUGCUUAACCCGAUGAUCUGCAUUUGGAACUAUCAAGCUAGAGUAUCCGAGAGGAAAGCUGAAUUCCUAGUGUAGCGGUGAAAUGCCUAGAUAUUAAGAAGAACACCAGUGGCGAAAGUGGCUUUCUGGAUUGAAACUGACGCUGACGCUCGAAAGCGUGUGGAGCGAACAGGAUUACAUACCCUGAUAAUCCACACCCGAAACGAUGAGUGAUAGGUGUCGGGGAGGAAUCCUCGGUGCUGCAGCUAACGCAAUAAGCACUCCAUAUGGGGAGUACGACCGCAAGGUUGAAACUCAAAGGAAUUGACGGGGGCCCGCACAAGCGGUGGACCAUGUGGUUUAAUUUGAAGCAACGCGAAGAACGUUAACAAGGCUUGACAUCCCGAUGACCGUCCUAGAGAUAGGAAUUCUAUUCGGAGCAUCGGUGACAGGUGGUGCAUGGUAGUCGUCAGCUCGUGUCGUGAGAUGUUGGGUUAAGUCCCGCAACGAGCGCAACCCUUAUCUUCAGUAGCCAUCAUUCAGUUGGGCACUCUGGAGAGACUGCCGUGGAUAACACGGAGGAAGGUGGGGAUGACGUCAAAUCAUCAUGCCCCUUAUGUCUUGGGCUACACACGUGCUACAAUGGCUGGUAACAAAGUGAAGCAAGACGGCGACGUUAAGCAAAUCUCAAAAACCCAGUCCCAGUUCGGAUUGUAGUCUGCAACUCGACUACAUGAAGUUGGAAUCGCUAGUAAUCGCGAAUCAGCAUGUCGCGGUGAAUACGUUCCCGGGCCUUGUACACACCGCCCGUCACACCAUGGGAGUUGGAAGCACCCGAAGUCGGUGACCUAACCGUAAGGAAGGAGCCGCCGAAGGUGAAGCCAGUGACUGGGGUGA
This 1446-nucleotide ribosomal RNA is filed under the name uncultured organism. RNAcentral's name for it is "SSU rRNA". It matches the Rfam family "Bacterial small subunit ribosomal RNA". The record is from RNAcentral.